RNAcentral lists this small RNA (441 nucleotides) under uncultured Glomus. RNAcentral describes it as "SSU rRNA". It matches the Rfam family "Eukaryotic small subunit ribosomal RNA", at positions 569 to 1015 of the family's 1831-position model. Lineage: Eukaryota; Fungi; Glomeromycota; Glomeromycetes; Glomerales; Glomeraceae. The record is from RNAcentral.
AGCAGCCGCGGUAAUUCCAGCUCCAAUAGCGUAUAUUAAAGUUGUUGCAGUUAAAAAGCUCGUAGUUGAAUUUCGGGGUUAGCAGGUCGGUCGUGCCAUCGGUAUGAACUGGUCUCGCUGAUCCCUCCCUCUUGACGAACUGUGAUGCCAUUAAUUUGGUGUCGCAGGGAAUCAGGACUGUUACUUUGAAAAAUUAGGGUGUUUAAAGCAGGCUCACGCUUGAAUACAUUAGCAUGGAAUAAUGAAAUAGGACGUUUGAUCCUAUUUUGUUGGCUUCUAGGAUUGACGUAAUGAUUAAUAGGGAUAGUUGGGGGCAUUAGUAUUCAAUUGUCAGAGGUGAAAUUCUUGGAUUUAUUGAAGACUAACUACUGCGAAAGCAUUUGCCAAGGAUGUUUUCAUUAAUCAAGAACGAAAGUUAGGGGAUCGAAGACGAUCAGAUAC